UCCCCAUUAGUGUAAUGGCAGCACACGGGUCUUUGGAACCUUUAGAGGUGGUUCGAGUCCAUCAUGGGGAG
This 71-nucleotide transfer RNA is filed under the name Pseudolactococcus raffinolactis. RNAcentral describes it as "tRNA-Gln". It matches the Rfam family "tRNA". Rfam says of the family: Transfer RNA (tRNA) molecules are approximately 80 nucleotides in length. Their secondary structure includes four short double-helical elements and three loops (D, anti-codon, and T loops). Further hydrogen bonds mediate the characteristic L-shaped molecular structure. tRNAs have two regions of fundamental functional importance: the anti-codon, which is responsible for specific mRNA codon recognition, and the 3' end, to which the tRNAs corresponding amino acid is attached (by aminoacyl-tRNA synthetases). tRNAs cope with the degeneracy of the genetic code in two manners: having more than one tRNA (with a specific anti-codon) for a particular amino acid; and 'wobble' base-pairing, i.e. permitting non-standard base-pairing at the 3rd anti-codon position. Lineage: Bacteria; Bacillati; Bacillota; Bacilli; Lactobacillales; Streptococcaceae. The record is from RNAcentral. RNAcentral also lists the same sequence under 2 other names.